GAUGAAGAACGCAGCGAAAUGCGAUAAGUAGUGUGAAUUGCAGAAUUCCGUGAAUCAUCGAAUCUUUGAACGCACAUUGCGCCUUCUGGUAUUCCGGAAGGCAUGCCUGUUCGAGAGUCAUUAACAACCGUUUCGAUCCCUUUCUUUCAGAAAUUACAAAGAGGAAAAGGGUUUGGUUAUGGUGGAGGAGGGAAAGGGAGCGUUUAGCCUGUAAAAAAAGAGGCUGUGUUCCGCCUCCCCCCCAAAAUUGUACAGGCGGUCGUGUGCGCCCACGCAUCGAGGUGUUGUAAAAGCUGCCACGGCACUUUUCACCUGUGCAGUGCGAGAUUGGCCAGCCGGUUUAAAAACCCCUCAAAACAAUCAAAGGUUGACCUCGGAUCAGGUAGGGAUACCCGCUGAACUUAAGCAUAUCAAUAAGCGGAGGA
This 425-nucleotide unclassified non-coding RNA is filed under the name soil metagenome. RNAcentral's name for it is "partial contains 5.8S ribosomal RNA, internal transcribed spacer 2, and large subunit ribosomal RNA". The stretch from base 1 to 120 matches the Rfam family "5.8S ribosomal RNA", at positions 35 to 154 of the family's 154-position model. The record is from RNAcentral.